GCCAGGUGUAGUGGUGCUGUCUGUAAUCCAAGCAUCUGGAGGCUGUAGCAUGCUACGUUAAACAGGUGUCCUCACCAAGUUCAGUAUCAGUAUGACCACCAGGUCAUCUAAGGAGGGCUGCACUGGCCCAGGUCAGAAAUUAAGCAGGUCAAAGCCCCUGUGCUGUCCAGUAGUGGUUUAGCGCCUGUGAGAAGACGCUGCAGUGCAGCCUUG
This 213-nucleotide signal recognition particle RNA is filed under the name Salmo salar (Atlantic salmon). Its description in RNAcentral is "Metazoan signal recognition particle RNA (ENSSSAG00000082419.1)". It matches the Rfam family "Metazoan signal recognition particle RNA". Rfam says of the family: The signal recognition particle (SRP) is a universally conserved ribonucleoprotein. It is involved in the co-translational targeting of proteins to membranes. Lineage: Eukaryota; Metazoa; Chordata; Actinopteri; Salmoniformes; Salmonidae. The record is from RNAcentral.